GUCCUCGUAGCUUAAACAAAGCAUGACGCUGAAGAUGUCAAGAUGGCCCACCACAUACCCGAGGACA
This 67-nucleotide transfer RNA is filed under the name Eudynamys scolopaceus (Asian koel). Its description in RNAcentral is "tRNA-Phe". RNAcentral also lists the same sequence under 1 other name. Lineage: Eukaryota; Metazoa; Chordata; Aves; Cuculiformes; Cuculidae. The record is from RNAcentral.